Caenorhabditis elegans is the source of this 180-nucleotide non-coding RNA. The record is from Ensembl. Lineage: Eukaryota; Metazoa; Nematoda; Chromadorea; Rhabditida; Rhabditidae.
CAUCAAUCGCUGGACAAAUUGUGAUGAUGCACUUGCCCGAGAAGAACUCUCGGGCAAACACUAAUCUAAUUAUAUUCAGUGUGAACACAAACGUAUCUAUAGUGUAAUGUAAAGGGCUCUGGAGUUUACAAAGUUUACAAAAAAUAGUUGUUUUGGUUAUCAGAUUUUGAGAAUUCCCCU